This 462-nucleotide ribosomal RNA is filed under the name uncultured bacterium. RNAcentral describes it as "partial 16S ribosomal RNA". It matches the Rfam family "Bacterial small subunit ribosomal RNA", at positions 32 to 507 of the family's 1533-position model. The record is from RNAcentral.
AACCAACGCUGGCGGCGUGCCUAAUACAUGCAAGUCGAACGGGGGAAGCUUUCGGGUGAGUACUAGUGGCGCACGGGUGAGGAACGCGUGGAUAAUCUGCCUUAGAGUGGGGGAUAACUAGUCGAAAGAUUAGCUAAUACCGCAUAAGACCACGAGAGCUGCGGCUUUUGAGGUCAAAGGUUUUUCGCUCUAAGAUGAGUCCGCGUAAGAUUAGCUAGUUGGUGAGGUAACGGCUCACCAAGGCGACGAUCUUUAACUGGUCUGAGAGGAUGAUCAGUCACACUGGAACUGAGACACGGUCCAGACUCCUACGGGAGGCAGCAGUAGGGAAUAUUGCACAAUGGAGGAAACUCUGAUGCAGCGACGCCGCGUGAGUGAUGAAGGCCUUCGGGUCGUAAAGCUCUGUCGCAGGGGAAUAACACAAUGAAGGUACCCUGUAAGAAAGGAUCGGCUAACUUCGUG